CAGAAGUGGAGGCAGAAAGAUUGUAAGAACCAGAGGGGAUGGAGGACACCAUUUCCAAUUAGUCCUUCUAAACACCGCAGGCUGACACGGGAUUUUCCAGUUUCUAAAUCUGUAGCUAAUGAAAAUGUGUUUCUGGACUCAACCUGAAUGUUCUGGUUUUUAAACGAAGCAGAUCACAAGCAGCUUGGACUUAAAAGUGACUCCUUCUUGCUUUUGGACAGAGGGAAAUAGCUUUGCUGUGAACACAAAGCCCAGUUUCCUUCACCCUAUCAUACUGGGGCAUUGCAGACUGAGUAGAAGAACAAAGGUUUCCUGUGAAGAGGAAGCAGAUGACCUUCCUCAGACUUAAGGAAAGCCUCGAACAUUAGUGAUUUGAAACCUUU
Peromyscus maniculatus bairdii (prairie deer mouse) is the source of this 383-nucleotide non-coding RNA. The record is from RefSeq and is a predicted model, not a curated record. Lineage: Eukaryota; Metazoa; Chordata; Mammalia; Rodentia; Cricetidae.